UGUUAAAAUCUGUGGAAAAUUGGAAAAGUAUAAAGGACAUCGUUUCAGGAAGAAAAAAGAAUCCUCUUCAAUUUCUCUAUAUGUUCUCUCUCUUUACAAAGGUGAAAUCAAGGGUAUUAUAUACAUAAAUGGACGUAACCGCCCCAACUAAUCUAAUAAAAAAGGUUACAGAAAACAGUUAUACAGAAUGUCUCCUGUAUCUAGUACAGUUAUACAGAAUCUAUCCUGUAUCUAGGACAACUAUCUGCCCGUUAUUAGCAACCUCACUAGUGACUCGAGUAGCGACAUCCAUAUGCGACCUCAGGACACUUGUAGUUUGAGCAACUUCAGAGUGAACGACGACCUCAUGGUGUGAAGGCUGGGAGGUCGUACUCUCAACAGCCGGUGGCAAUCGAGGUAAUGGGAACCUGGACGACCAAAUUGCUCAGCUGAUGCAGUGCAAGCCCUUGUCGGAGCAAGAGAUAAGGGUGUUGUGCCAGAAGGCCAAGGAGAUUCUGAUGAAAGCAAUCUGCAGCCUGUGAAAAGCCCAGUGACCAUAUGUGGUGAUAUUCAUGGGCAGUUCCAUGAUCUUGCGGAACUCUUUCGGAUUGGUGGAAAGGCAGUAAUCAUGUUUGUGUUGAGGGGGCAUUGACAUGUUGCCGCGACAACCACAUUGGUCGUUGUGAUCCUGGAAUGGAUGACAAAAAGUGCAAUGAGAUGUGCAAAGAGGGUUGCUCUAAAGGAGGUUUCUGCAAAGUUCUCAAUAAAAAACCCCCCAACCAUUAUUGUCAUUGCUAUUGUUGAAGUCUCAGUGCAGCAAGCAACUCUCACCAUCAUUUAAGCUAGCCAAUAUGUAUCUUUCUGUGUGAGCUUCAUAAACAUAUAUAAUUCCAUAAUAAUGCAAAAACCUUAAACAUUA
This is a long non-coding RNA of Sesamum indicum (sesame), 898 nucleotides long. RefSeq lists it as uncharacterized. NCBI's taxonomy places the organism in Eukaryota, Viridiplantae, Streptophyta, Magnoliopsida, Lamiales, Pedaliaceae. The record is from RefSeq and is a predicted model, not a curated record.